GACGAACGCUGGCGGCGUGCUUAACACAUGCAAGUCGAACGGAAAGGCCCUGCUUUUGUGGGGUGCUCGAGUGGCGAACGGGUGAGUAACACGUGAGUAACCUGCCCUUGACUUUGGGAUAACUUCAGGAAACUGGGGCUAAUACCGGAUAGUAGCUCCUGCUGCAUGGUGGGGGUUGGAAAGUUUCGGCGGUUGGGGAUGGACUCGCGGCUUAUCAGCUUGUUGGUGGGGUAGUGGCUUACCAAGGCUUUGACGGGUAGCCGGCCUGAGAGGGUGACCGGCCACAUUGGGACUGAGAUACGGCCCAGACUCCUACGGGUGGCAGUAGUGGGGAAUAUUGCACAAUGGGCGGAAGCCUGAUGCAGCAACGCCGCGUGCGGGAUGACGGCCUUCGGGUUGUAAACCGCUUUCGCCUGUGACGAAGCGUGAGUGACGGUAAUGGGUAAAGAAGCACCGGCUAACUACGUG
Molecule: ribosomal RNA, 468 nt
Filed under: uncultured bacterium
Lineage: Bacteria
Description: partial 16S ribosomal RNA
Rfam family: Bacterial small subunit ribosomal RNA
Source: RNAcentral